RNAcentral lists this ribosomal RNA (488 nucleotides) under uncultured bacterium. RNAcentral describes it as "bacterial SSU rRNA". It matches the Rfam family "Bacterial small subunit ribosomal RNA", at positions 30 to 507 of the family's 1533-position model. The record is from RNAcentral.
UUGAACGCUGGCGGCAAGCCUAACACAUGCAAGUCGAGCGGUAACAUUUCUAGCUUGCUAGAAGAUGACGAGCGGCGGACGGGUGAGUAAAGCAUAGGAAUCUGGCCAAUAGAGGGGGAUAGCCCGGAGAAAUCCGGAUUAAUACCGCAUACACUCUAUGGAGAAAAAGCAGGGGAUCUUCGGACCUUGCGCUAUUGGAUGAGCCUAUGUCGGAUUAGUUAGUUGGUGGGGUAAAGGCCUACCAAGGCGACGAUCCGUAGCUGGUCUUAGAGGAUGAUCAGCCACAUCGGGACUGAGACACGGCCCGAACUCCUACGGGAGGCAGCAGUGGGGAAUAUUGCACAAUGGGCGCAAGCCUGAUGCAGCUAUGCCGCGUGUGUGAAGAAGGCCUUAGGGUCGUAAAGCACUUUCAGUAGUGAGGAAAAGUGUUGUGUUAAUAGCGCAAUGGUGUGACGUUAGCUACAGAAGAAGGACCGGCAAACUCCGUG